AGGAGAAUCAUUCACAAUGGGCGCAAGCCUGAUGGUGCGACGCCGCGUGCGGGAUGAAGGCCUUCGGGUCGUAAACCGCUGUCGGGAGCUAGGAAUGUCCGGGGGGUCAAUACCCCCUCGGAGUGACUGGGCUCCAACGGAAGCUCCGGCUAACUACGUGCCAGCAGCCGCGGUAAUACGUAGGGAGCGAGCGUUACUCGUAAUCACUGGGCAUAAAGGGCGUGUAGGCGGGUGCGCAAGUCCGAUGUGAAAUCCACCGGCUCACCCGGUGAAGUGCAUUGGAUACUGCGUGUCUGGAGUGUGGGAGAGGAGAGCGGAACUCUUGGUGGAGCGGUGAAAUGCGUAGAUAUCAAGAGGAACGCCGGUGGCGAAAGCGGCUCUCUGGCCCAUUACUGACGCUGAGGCGCGAAAGCUAGGGGAGCAAACG
Molecule: ribosomal RNA, 427 nt
Filed under: uncultured prokaryote
Description: bacterial SSU rRNA
Rfam family: Bacterial small subunit ribosomal RNA
Source: RNAcentral